Tympanuchus pallidicinctus (lesser prairie-chicken) is the source of this 4232-nucleotide RNA transcript. It is a transcript of the gene named BUD13 homolog, with no coding region annotated. NCBI's taxonomy places the organism in Eukaryota, Metazoa, Chordata, Aves, Galliformes, Phasianidae. The record is from RefSeq and is a predicted model, not a curated record. The transcript has 15 exons.
CUCUUUUCGCGAGGCCCCGUCUAUCGCUACGCGCCACAACUCAGCGGAAGUCCCGCCCGCCUGGGCCUUUUUGCUGCUCUUCGCUUCCGGUCGCGGUGCCAUGGCCGCGCCGGGUAUCUCCAAAGCGCAGUACCUGCAGCGCUACCUCAGCGGCCCUCCCGCCGCUCAGCCCCGCCGCCGCCGCAAGAAGAAGCCGCCGAGCGGCUCCGGCAGAGCUGGGAUGCGGAUCGUAGAUGACGACGUGGGCUGGAGCAGCAUCGCCGCUGUGCCUGAGAAGGAAGAGGAGGAGGACGAAAGCGACGUGCCCGUGGUGGCAGAGUUUAUUGAUGAGCGUCCAAAUGAAGUGAAGCUCAUGGAGGAGUUCCGAACAAACACUAAAUGGAAGCUUUUAGGAGACCAGAAUGAAGACUCACAGAGCUCAGAUAUUUCAGCACCUGCCAAACCUACCACACGGCAACAACGUCAUGACUCCCCAGAUUUGUCCCCUCCCAGACAAGAGAGAAAUGAUUCCCCCAAACUCUUACCUUGCAAGCAACGACAGGGCGACUCCCCAGGCCUGUCACCUCCCAGGAGGAAGCGCCACGACUCCCCAGACCUCUCACCUCCCCGGAGGAAGCGCCACGACUCCCCAGACCUCUCACCUCCCAGGAGGAAGCGCCAUGACUCCCCAGACCUCUCACCUCCCCGGAGGAAGCGCCACGACUCCCCAGACCUCUCACCUCCCCGGAGGAAGCGCCACGACUCCCCAGACCUCUCACCUCCCCGGAGGAAGCGCCACGACUCCCCAGACCUCUCACCUCCCAGGAGGAAGCGCCACGACUCCCCAGACCUCUCACCUCCCCGGAGGAAGCGCCACGACUCCCCAGACCUCUCACCUCCCAGGAGGAAGCGCCACGACUCCCCAGACCCGUCCCCACCAAAACGGCAGCGCCACGACUCCCCAGAUCUCUCUCCUGAAAGAGUCAGUUCAGCAAUGGGAAAAAAAGGCUGUCAAGUGUCAGAUGCUUCCCGCGUAGAAAAGCUCCGUCGUGACUCUGAUUCUCCACCUCCACGAAGGGGGACCCAAAAUGCCUCUGAGGCAGACCUUUCCCCCCAGCGGAAGAAUCACAGGGCUCUGCCUUCUGGAAAGGGUCAGCGUGGUUCAAGGAGUCCCCCUGAUCUCUCACGUCAUCGGUACCCUGACGAUAAGGGAUCUCCCAAAAAGACCAAAAUGAUGUCUGGGGUCAAAGCCGGCUUGGUGUCAGCUGAUGUGCUGCGGAAAGAGCAGCAGGAGCUCAGGAAGCAGGAGAGAAGUAGCAAGCACUUGGAAGAGGAAUCCCGACACACAGAAACCAUCUUCCGUGACAAGUCAGGCCGCAAGAGGGACCUUGAGCAGGAACGGCUUGAACAGAAGCAGAAAGAUGCAGCAAAGUCAGAGCGAGAUGAACAAUAUGCCAGAUGGGGAAAGGGGUUAGCGCAAGGGAGGCAACAGCAGCAGAAUGUGGAAGAUGCAAUAAAAGAGAUGCAAAAGCCUUUGGCCCGUUACAUCGAUGAUGAGGAUCUGGAUCGAAUGCUGCGAGAACAAGAGAGGGAAGGAGACCCAAUGGCUGAGUUCAUCAAAAAAAGGAAAGCCAAAGAGAACAAGGAAAAAGAAAAACCUAAGUACAGUGGACCAGCACCUCCCCUCAACAGAUUUAACAUAUGGCCUGGGCAUCGCUGGGAUGGGGUGGACAGGUCCAACGGAUUUGAGAAGCAGUUCUUUGCCAGGAUGGCCGACAGGAAGGCAGUUCAGGAGCUUGCAUACAAGUGGAGCAUUGAAGACAUGUAGAAAGAAGAAAUAACCAUGUGAGACAACGUGCCUGAAUUGAGAUUUGCUUGCUACCACUGCCAGAGCCAUAAGUAAUGGCUCCUCUGCCUGGAUCAAGCGCUGUCCUCGGCAUUCAGUAUCCUAGAAAACGGACUCAACCAGAUGGCAGCCAAGCUCCAAAAAGAAGACGGGAGGUGGCUCUCACACGAGGUGGCGUCCAUUUGCAGCAAGAUCUCUGCCUCCACCCAAGUGCAAAAGGAGAAGGGAAGCCAUCUCCUUGCAAGGAAAAAACAUAAAGCUCCUGGGCAUCUGUGCUUCACUUCUCCCUUCCCUGCAGGUCCAUCAGUAUGCAGUGCCCGUUACCUCGAUGAAGGACCCACGCUGCCUUUGUGCAGUCAAGGUUACCUCCACGCUGAGCUCUGCAGCAGCCUCGUGGUGCUCACACCCAGCUCACCGCCCGCUCUCCCAGCCCCAAGACCCUCCCGUGCCCAGCAGAACCUCUGCCACAUAUCUCUGCUUUCCUAACAGCCCUUGGAAGCCACACACCCAUCUGCCAGGUGGGUUUUUCAGCAGCAAAUCCUGCUCCAAAGAGAGGGUUUGGGCGAAUGGGAAGUGGCAGGCGGACCCACUCAUGCAAUCGCAUGGGCUGCCAGACACACCUGCUCCCAGCGCCGUAAUGAAGGCAAAUAUUUAGAGAAUGGCAGAGUCCAAAUUGCUCAGCGUUUCACUCGGAAUCAACAGCCUUUCGGAGGCUGGGAUUAAUUUGAAGGAAUUUACUGGUGGAGUUGGUGGCAGAUAAAACAGUUUGCUUAUUUCACACUUGUAUGGCCACCUGCUACGAACUGUUUGUUCAGUUUCAAAUUCUUUAAUUAAAAUCAACAUAAAGCAGAUUGAAAACAUCCCAAGAAGGGGAUGCUUGAUUUGCUGGAGGAUAUUGCAGAAGACAUGCCAAAGCACUGCCAAGGCGCCUUACCCAUCGGAGCCCCGGCAUGUGCUGGCCGUGGGCACAGUUUGCCACGGUUUCCAGCCCUGCCAGUGAUACUCGGGCACCUGUGCUCCCUGCCCCUCAUUCCAGGGCACCAUUUAUCCACAUUUCUUCCUCCUUAUGUCCUCCCUGCAAGGCAAGCCCUGCGCACUCGGUGCACGGCGGCGCGUUGGCCCCUUUGUGCGGCUGAUUAGAGGCCCUCCUCCACCAAACAUCAAAGCUUCAAUUAACACAGGCCGCUUGCAACCCUCUUGCAGAACUCAGAUAAGAAUGGAAUUUUCCCUUGGAAAAUGGAUUUGUAUUUAGCUGCAUGUGCUGUGCAGUAAAUGACCUGCUCUGUGCGGUGGCAAAGAGGGUCCGGGGACAAUUAGGGUGCUCAUUGGGAACCGGUUAUCUGAAGGAAACAGGCACACUGCUAUUUAGCUGUCUAAUAUCCCAAUGGGAGGGGAACCAAAAUUAAAAACUAUCUCUCUUUUCAGAGCCAUUUGAAUCUGAAGGAGGAUUCCUUUUUUAUUCGGUGCUUUUCACUCGAAGGUUUCUUUUUUUUUUUUCCCCUCUCUCUGAUUCCCUUAUUUGCGGGUGGCCGUUUGCAGAUGAGAAGAAUGGAGAGGGGAAGGAGGGCUGACCGUGCUGGGGGGCACAGCGCUGUGCUGGGGCUCUCAAGCAUCCCCAAGGCUGCUUGGUGCUGGGACAGCAGGGCAGUGGGAUGGCAGGACAGUGGGACAGCAGGAUAGAAGCCCUCCUCAGCCCCACGGCCUUGGGCAUCCCUCGGGGGGGUGGCAGAGUAGUAGGACAGAAGGACAGUGGGACAGCAGGGCAGUGGGGCAGCGGGGUGGCAGGACAGCAGGACCAGCAGGGCAGCGGACAGAGGGAUGGUGGGACAGCAGAACAGCACAGCAAUGGGACAGCGGGAUGGCAGGGCAGUAGGACGGCAGGUUGGCAGGGCAGCGUGAUAGCAGAACAGUGGAACAGUGGCAGGACAGCGAGAUGGCAGAUCAGGAGGACAGCAGGACAGAAGGGCAGUGGGACAGUGGGAGAGCAGGACAGCAGCCCUCCUCAGCCCCACAGCCUCAGGCAUCCCUCAAGCACGUGGCUCCUCUGCACAGCAGCAGCAUCUCAGCAGAGGAUCCACUGAUGCUUGGAGACACCGCCGGAGCCUCUCCAUGUAUUCAUCAAAGCUCGUGCAUCCCCCACUCCAAUGCAUGCGAAACAAUAACAAACACGCAGUGCAGAAAGUUAAUAUGUAGCCAGACGAGCGUUUUAAUAACUGGAAAGGUUAAAAAAAAAGCCCUCUCAGGCUCCAUGUGGGCUCCUGCCAGCUCGCGUUCCUGAGAGUCUGGGAGACCCAGAGUACCAUGACUGUAUUGAUUCAAUUAUUCUCUACAAUGUAAUACUCUGCAUUUGUGUGAUAGCAACAAACAGAGUUGAAAGACAUACAAAAAUAAAUGAUCUGAAAGUUAA